This 1392-nucleotide ribosomal RNA is filed under the name Staphylococcus pseudoxylosus. RNAcentral's name for it is "bacterial SSU rRNA". It matches the Rfam family "Bacterial small subunit ribosomal RNA", at positions 64 to 1437 of the family's 1533-position model. Lineage: Bacteria; Bacillati; Bacillota; Bacilli; Caryophanales; Staphylococcaceae. The record is from RNAcentral.
CAGCGAACAGAUAAGGAGCUUGCUCCUUUGACGUUAGCGGCGGACGGGUGAGUAACACGUGGGUAACCUACCUAUAAGACUGGGAUAACUUCGGGAAACCGGAGCUAAUACCGGAUAACAUUUGGAACCGCAUGGUUCUAAAGUGAAAGAUGGUUUUGCUAUCACUUAUAGAUGGACCCGCGCCGUAUUAGCUAGUUGGUAAGGUAACGGCUUACCAAGGCGACGAUACGUAGCCGACCUGAGAGGGUGAUCGGCCACACUGGAACUGAGACACGGUCCAGACUCCUACGGGAGGCAGCAGUAGGGAAUCUUCCGCAAUGGGCGAAAGCCUGACGGAGCAACGCCGCGUGAGUGAUGAAGGGUUUCGGCUCGUAAAACUCUGUUAUUAGGGAAGAACAAAUGUGUAAGUAACUGUGCACAUCUUGACGGUACCUAAUCAGAAAGCCACGGCUAACUACGUGCCAGCAGCCGCGGUAAUACGUAGGUGGCAAGCGUUAUCCGGAAUUAUUGGGCGUAAAGCGCGCGUAGGCGGUUUCUUAAGUCUGAUGUGAAAGCCCACGGCUCAACCGUGGAGGGUCAUUGGAAACUGGGAAACUUGAGUGCAGAAGAGGAAAGUGGAAUUCCAUGUGUAGCGGUGAAAUGCGCAGAGAUAUGGAGGAACACCAGUGGCGAAGGCGACUUUCUGGUCUGUAACUGACGCUGAUGUGCGAAAGCGUGGGGAUCAAACAGGAUUAGAUACCCUGGUAGUCCACGCCGUAAACGAUGAGUGCUAAGUGUUAGGGGGUUUCCGCCCCUUAGUGCUGCAGCUAACGCAUUAAGCACUCCGCCUGGGGAGUACGACCGCAAGGUUGAAACUCAAAGGAAUUGACGGGGACCCGCACAAGCGGUGGAGCAUGUGGUUUAAUUCGAAGCAACGCGAAGAACCUUACCAAAUCUUGACAUCCUUUGAAAACUCUAGAGAUAGAGCCUUCCCCUUCGGGGGACAAAGUGACAGGUGGUGCAUGGUUGUCGUCAGCUCGUGUCGUGAGAUGUUGGGUUAAGUCCCGCAACGAGCGCAACCCUUAAGCUUAGUUGCCAUCAUUAAGUUGGGCACUCUAGGUUGACUGCCGGUGACAAACCGGAGGAAGGUGGGGAUGACGUCAAAUCAUCAUGCCCCUUAUGAUUUGGGCUACACACGUGCUACAAUGGACAAUACAAAGGGCAGCUAAACCGCGAGGUCAUGCAAAUCCCAUAAAGUUGUUCUCAGUUCGGAUUGUAGUCUGCAACUCGACUACAUGAAGCUGGAAUCGCUAGUAAUCGUAGAUCAGCAUGCUACGGUGAAUACGUUCCCGGGUCUUGUACACACCGCCCGUCACACCACGAGAGUUUGUAACACCCGAAGCCGGUGGAGUA